AGUGAACGCUGGCGGUAGGCCUAACACACGCAAGUCGAACGGCAGCACAGGAGAGCUUGCUCUCUGGGUGGCGAGUGGCGGACGGGUGAGGAAUACAUCGGAAUCUACUCUGUCGUGGGGGAUAACGUAGGGAAACUUACGCUAAUACCGCAUACGACCUACGGGUGAAAGCAGGGGACCUUCGGGCCUUGCGCGAUUGAAUGAGCCGAUGUCAGAUUAGCUAGUUGGCGGGGUAAAGGCCCACCAAGGCGACGAUCCGUAGCUGGUCUGAGAGGAUGAUCAGCCACACUGGAACUGAGACCCGGUCCAGACUCCUACGGGAGGCAGCAGUGGGGAAUAUUGGACAAUGGGCGCAAGCCUGAUCCAGCCAUACCGCGUGGGUGACGAAGGCCUUCGGGUUGUAAAGCCCUUUUGUUGGGAAAGAAAUCCAGCUGGCUAAUACCCGGUUGGGAUGACGGUACCCAAAGAAUAAGCACCGGCUAACUUCGUGCCAGCCGCCGCCGUAA
This 506-nucleotide ribosomal RNA is filed under the name uncultured bacterium. Its description in RNAcentral is "partial 16S ribosomal RNA". It matches the Rfam family "Bacterial small subunit ribosomal RNA", at positions 29 to 523 of the family's 1533-position model. The record is from RNAcentral.